RNAcentral lists this transfer RNA (69 nucleotides) under Osphronemus goramy (giant gourami). RNAcentral describes it as "tRNA-Arg". It matches the Rfam family "tRNA". From Rfam's summary of the family: Transfer RNA (tRNA) molecules are approximately 80 nucleotides in length. Their secondary structure includes four short double-helical elements and three loops (D, anti-codon, and T loops). Further hydrogen bonds mediate the characteristic L-shaped molecular structure. tRNAs have two regions of fundamental functional importance: the anti-codon, which is responsible for specific mRNA codon recognition, and the 3' end, to which the tRNAs corresponding amino acid is attached (by aminoacyl-tRNA synthetases). tRNAs cope with the degeneracy of the genetic code in two manners: having more than one tRNA (with a specific anti-codon) for a particular amino acid; and 'wobble' base-pairing, i.e. permitting non-standard base-pairing at the 3rd anti-codon position. The record is from RNAcentral. Lineage: Eukaryota; Metazoa; Chordata; Actinopteri; Anabantiformes; Osphronemidae.
AGGUGAUUAGUCUGAAAAAAACAUUUGAUUUCGGCUCAAAAGCUUAUGGUUAAAAUCCAUAAUUACCUG